GACGAACGCUGGCGGCGUGCUUAACACAUGCAAGUCGAACGGAAAGGCCCCUUUGGGGGUCCUCGAGUGGCGAACGGGUGCGUAACACGUGAGUAACCUGCCCUUGACUUCGGGAUAACUUCAGGAAACUGGGGCUAAUACCGGAUAGGAAUCCUUGCUGCAUGGUGGGGGUUGGAAAGCUUCGGCGGUUUUGGAUGGACUCGCGGCGUAUCAGCUUGUUGGUGGGGUAGUGGCUUACCAAGGCUUUGACGGGUAGCCGGCCUGAGAGGGCGACCGGCCACAUUGGGACUGAGAUACGGCCCAGACUCCGACGGGAGGCAGCAGUGGGGAAGAUUGCACAAUGGGCGGAAGCCGGAUGCAGCAACGCCGCGUGCGGGAUGACGGCCUUCGGGUUGUAAACCGCUUUCAGCAGGGGCGAAGCUUGUGGUGACGGUACCUGCAGAAGAAGCACCGGCUAACUACGUG
Molecule: ribosomal RNA, 465 nt
Filed under: uncultured bacterium
Lineage: Bacteria
Description: partial 16S ribosomal RNA
Rfam family: Bacterial small subunit ribosomal RNA
Source: RNAcentral